Molecule: long non-coding RNA, 770 nt
Organism: Tripterygium wilfordii
Lineage: Eukaryota; Viridiplantae; Streptophyta; Magnoliopsida; Celastrales; Celastraceae
Exons: 4
Source: RefSeq, a predicted model, not a curated record
CUUUUUCAGGUUUUGGGAUUUGGACUUUUGGAGUGGCAGAGGAAGAAGGAUCAAAUUACGUUAAUGAUGCAACAUCUAAGGCUAUCGUUAUGGUUGACAUUGUUCGUAUUGGCGUGUACACCGACAAGCCCUAGGAGAAGGGGUCUGAAGAGUAUCACAUCAGAACGAGUCUCACCUCCGUCAUCGGCAGUGAAGAGGUUGCGUAGGAGGCUCUGAUUUGCUGUUACAAGAAUGCUCCCACCAAAGUUGUCGAUAACUUUCAAAGGCAGAAAAACCAGGUGUUGUUCAGGUUGUUUGAAAUCAGGACUCUACUCUGCUGGUUUCUGGACAUGAAAAGCUACCCUAGAAGAAGCUACUCAAUUACAAGUAAAACUGUGGUUUAAUGAGGAGUAUGCUGACAUGAUUGUCAGGGUUAAAAUGAUAGGAUUCAAUUGUGCGAUCGUCCUGCAAAUUCUCUGUUUCAACACAGUGGAGAGUUUGCCUUUCAACAGGUACGUAGUAGUACUCUGCAAUCCUCUCUUUCAAAUCAAGAAUAGUUGCAGACAGCGGCAUCUGAGUAUAAAAAAUUAAUUCAGUUCCUUGAGAAAAUCCAGUUCCAAUGAUCUCGAAUGUCACCCCAGCAGCAGCCAUGACGAACCAGAAGUGUCUUCAAUAAUUUUUAUGGGAUUCUUACUUCUUUUUUUCAGAACUGAUUUGUGUUAUUCUAUGUGAAGAAGUCAUGCAGAAAAGAAGCAAAUUAAGAAAUAUGAAUGGCAUGACAUUAUAAUGUC